ACCUGCUCACCUCCAGCUACCGCAGCGCACGCGUCGACGCGGUGCUCUCGCCCUACGACGGCAUCUCCAUCGGCA
This 75-nucleotide transfer RNA is filed under the name Streptomyces mutabilis. Lineage: Bacteria; Bacillati; Actinomycetota; Actinomycetes; Kitasatosporales; Streptomycetaceae. The record is from RNAcentral.